UACGUAGGGGGCAAGCGUUGUCCGGAAUUAUUGGGCGUAAAGCGCGUGUAGGCGGCCCUGCAAGUCGGAUGUGAAAUCCCACGGCUCAACCGUGGAAGUGCAUUCGAAACUGCAGGGCUAGAGUCCUGGAGAGGAAGGUGGAAUGCUUGGUGUAGAGGUGAAAUUCGUAGAUAUCAAGCGGAACACCGGUGGCGAAGGCGGCCUUCUGGACAGUGACUGACGCUGAGGUGCGAAAGCGUGGGGAGCAAACAGG
Molecule: ribosomal RNA, 253 nt
Filed under: uncultured bacterium
Lineage: Bacteria
Description: partial 16S ribosomal RNA
Rfam family: Bacterial small subunit ribosomal RNA
Source: RNAcentral